CGCAUACAACCUUAUACAUUAGCUCAGUAUGCAGACAUUUGUUGCCAUCACUGGAUCCUAAAGCAGUUCUCUAUGGAGAAAAAAGAAGAUGAAAAAGCAAAUAAGAUAACUUUUAGGAGCGUUCCAGAAUUUAGAGGGUUAUUUAUUGACCAAUGUUUGGCACAAGCUACUGAGCAUGGGUUUUAUGGAACUUCUUUGAAGCAAACUUCGUGGGGAAAUUUGUGCAAAUUCUUUUGUGAGAAGUAUGACUACACUAUCACCCAAAAGAAAUUGAGAAACCACUGGGAUUACUUGCGCACCCAAUAUGUCACUUGGUCUCGUCUCUUAGCAAGAACCGGGCAUGGGUACAACGCGGAGACGAACACUUUUGAUUGGAGCGAAGAACAAUGGUCUGAAUUAGACAAGACAAUCAAAAACGCCAGUCAAUUCAAGAAUAAGGGACUGGAAGAUGCAGAGAAGUUGCAGAAUUUAGUGAGUCAUGAGUUGAAGUUUUAGGUUGUUAGACUAGUAGUGAACAAGUUGUUUGAAAUGUGCACAAGGGCAUUUUCUGUCCAAAAAAAUCCACUCAGCUGAGUCAGAUCUGACUCACAAAACAAACAUAUUUUCUGACUCAGACCUUAGUGAGUCAGAUCCAGAUGAGUCAGGUGAUUUCACUCAGAUCCAGACGACUCAGAUGAGUCAGCUGCAAACAAACACCACCUAGGAUUUUGUUCAACAACUGGAAAAUCAGUCCUGCAGAGUUGAAUUGAAGAUAAGAACUGACAGAAAACGCGUUUUGGUGAGUUGGGUCCCUCUUAAUUAUCGAAUUGAAGAAGAAUAGGGAGAAUUUUGUGUGU
Long non-coding RNA from Papaver somniferum (opium poppy), 836 nucleotides. RefSeq lists it as uncharacterized. Lineage: Eukaryota; Viridiplantae; Streptophyta; Magnoliopsida; Ranunculales; Papaveraceae. The record is from RefSeq and is a predicted model, not a curated record. The transcript has 3 exons.